CUCCGGGCUUCAGCAGUGGGGAAUUUUGGGCAAUGGGCGAAAGCCUGACCCAGCAACGCCGCGUGGAGGAUGAAGGUUCUCGCCCCGUAAACUCCUUCCCCCUUCUCCUCCUCCCGUGACGGUAUCAUGGGAGGAAGCCCCGGCUAACUCCGUGCCAGCAGCCGCGGUAAUACGGGGGGGGCGAGCGUGUUCGGAAUUACUGGGCGUAAAGGGCGCGUAGGCGGUUUCGGAAGUCAAGGGUGAAAGCCCCGAGCUCAACUCGGGAAUUGCCUUUGAAACCACGGAACUAGAGUGUUGGAGAGGAAAGCGGAAUUUCCAGUGUAGCGGUGAAAUGCGUAGAUAUUGGAAGGAACAUCUGAGGCGAAGGCGGCUUUCUGGACAGACACUGACGCUGAGGCGCGAAAGCCAGGGGAGCGAACGGGAUUAGAUACCCCUGUAGUC
This 441-nucleotide ribosomal RNA is filed under the name uncultured bacterium. RNAcentral describes it as "partial 16S ribosomal RNA". It matches the Rfam family "Bacterial small subunit ribosomal RNA", at positions 339 to 795 of the family's 1533-position model. The record is from RNAcentral.